Molecule: ribosomal RNA, 2890 nt
Filed under: Pseudomonas savastanoi pv. glycinea
Lineage: Bacteria; Pseudomonadati; Pseudomonadota; Gammaproteobacteria; Pseudomonadales; Pseudomonadaceae
Description: bacterial LSU rRNA
Rfam family: Bacterial large subunit ribosomal RNA
Source: RNAcentral
UCAAGUGAAGAAGCGCAUACGGUGGAUGCCUUGGCAGUCAGAGGCGAUGAAAGACGUGGUAGCCUGCGAAAAGCUUCGGGGAGUCGGCAAACAGACUGUGAUCCGGAGAUGUCUGAAUGGGGGAACCCAGCCAUCAUAAGAUGGUUAUCUUGUACUGAAUACAUAGGUGCAAGAGGCGAACCAGGGGAACUGAAACAUCUAAGUACCCUGAGGAAAAGAAAUCAACCGAGAUUCCCUUAGUAGUGGCGAGCGAACGGGGACCAGCCCUUAAGUUGUAUUGAGAUUAGCGGAACGUUCUGGAAAGGACGGCCAUAGUGGGUGAUAGCCCUGUACGCGAAAAUCCCUUUGCAAUGAAAUCGAGUAGGACGGGGCACGAGAAACCUUGUCUGAAUAUGGGGGGACCAUCCUCCAAGGCUAAAUACUACUGACUGACCGAUAGUGAACCAGUACCGUGAGGGAAAGGCGAAAAGAACCGCGGAGAGCGGAGUGAAAUAGAUCCUGAAACCGUAUGCGUACAAGCAGUGGGAGCCCACUUGUUGGGUGACUGCGUACCUUUUGUAUAAUGGGUCAGCGACUUAUUUUCAGUGGCGAGCUUAACCGAAUAGGGGAGGCGUAGCGAAAGCGAGUCUUAAUAGGGCGUCUAGUCGCUGGGAAUAGACCCGAAACCGGGCGAUCUAUCCAUGGGCAGGUUGAAGGUUGGGUAACACUAACUGGAGGACCGAACCGACUACCGUUGAAAAGUUAGCGGAUGACCUGUGGAUCGGAGUGAAAGGCUAAUCAAGCUCGGAGAUAGCUGGUUCUCCUCGAAAGCUAUUUAGGUAGCGCCUCAUGUAUCACUGUAGGGGGUAGAGCACUGUUUCGGCUAGGGGGUCAUCCCGACUUACCAAACCGAUGCAAACUCCGAAUACCUACAAGUGCCGAGCAUGGGAGACACACGGCGGGUGCUAACGUCCGUCGUGAAAAGGGAAACAACCCAGACCGUCAGCUAAGGUCCCAAAGUCAUGGUUAAGUGGGAAACGAUGUGGGAAGGCUUAGACAGCUAGGAGGUUGGCUUAGAAGCAGCCACCCUUUAAAGAAAGCGUAAUAGCUCACUAGUCGAGUCGGCCUGCGCGGAAGAUGUAACGGGGCUCAAACCAUGCACCGAAGCUACGGGUAUCAUCUUUUGAUGAUGCGGUAGAGGAGCGUUCUGUAAGCCUGUGAAGGUGAGUUGAGAAGCUUGCUGGAGGUAUCAGAAGUGCGAAUGCUGACAUGAGUAACGACAAUGGGUGUGAAAAACACCCACGCCGAAAGACCAAGGUUUCCUGCGCAACGUUAAUCGACGCAGGGUUAGUCGGUCCCUAAGGCGAGGCUGAAAAGCGUAGUCGAUGGAAAACAGGUUAAUAUUCCUGUACUUCUGGUUAUUGCGAUGGAGGGACGGAGAAGGCUAGGCCAGCCUGGCGUUGGUUGUCCAGGUUUAAGGUGGUAGGCUGAGAUCUUAGGUAAAUCCGGGAUUUCAAGGCCGAGAGCUGAUGACGAGUGUUCUUUAGAACACGAAGUGGUUGAUGCCAUGCUUCCAAGAAAAGCUUCUAAGCUUCAGGUAACCAGGAACCGUACCCCAAACCGACACAGGUGGUUGGGUAGAGAAUACCAAGGCGCUUGAGAGAACUCGGGUGAAGGAACUAGGCAAAAUGGCACCGUAACUUCGGGAGAAGGUGCGCCGGUGAGGGUGAAGCAUUUACUGCGUAAGCCCACGCCGGUCGAAGAUACCAGGCCGCUGCGACUGUUUAUUAAAAACACAGCACUCUGCAAACACGAAAGUGGACGUAUAGGGUGUGACGCCUGCCCGGUGCCGGAAGGUUAAUUGAUGGGGUUAGCGCAAGCGAAGCUCUUGAUCGAAGCCCCGGUAAACGGCGGCCGUAACUAUAACGGUCCUAAGGUAGCGAAAUUCCUUGUCGGGUAAGUUCCGACCUGCACGAAUGGCGUAACGAUGGCGGCGCUGUCUCCACCCGAGACUCAGUGAAAUUGAAAUCGCUGUGAAGAUGCAGUGUAUCCGCGGCUAGACGGAAAGACCCCGUGAACCUUUACUAUAGCUUUGCACUGGACUUUGAAUUUGCUUGUGUAGGAUAGGUGGGAGGCUUUGAAGCGUGGACGCCAGUCUGCGUGGAGCCAACCUUGAAAUACCACCCUGGCAACUUUGAGGUUCUAACUCAGGUCCGUUAUCCGGAUCGAGGACAGUGUAUGGUGGGUAGUUUGACUGGGGCGGUCUCCUCCUAAAGAGUAACGGAGGAGUACGAAGGUGCGCUCAGACCGGUCGGAAAUCGGUCGUAGAGUAUAAAGGCAAAAGCGCGCUUGACUGCGAGACAGACACGUCGAGCAGGUACGAAAGUAGGUCUUAGUGAUCCGGUGGUUCUGUAUGGAAGGGCCAUCGCUCAACGGAUAAAAGGUACUCCGGGGAUAACAGGCUGAUACCGCCCAAGAGUUCAUAUCGACGGCGGUGUUUGGCACCUCGAUGUCGGCUCAUCACAUCCUGGGGCUGAAGCCGGUCCCAAGGGUAUGGCUGUUCGCCAUUUAAAGUGGUACGCGAGCUGGGUUUAGAACGUCGUGAGACAGUUCGGUCCCUAUCUGCCGUGGACGUUUGAGAUUUGAGAGGGGCUGCUCCUAGUACGAGAGGACCGGAGUGGACGAACCUCUGGUGUUCCGGUUGUCACGCCAGUGGCAUUGCCGGGUAGCUAUGUUCGGAAAAGAUAACCGCUGAAAGCAUCUAAGCGGGAAACUUGCCUCAAGAUGAGAUCUCACUGGAACCUUGAGUUCCCUAAAGGGCCGUCGAAGACUACGACGUUGAUAGGUUGGGUGUGUAAGCGCUGUGAGGCGUUGAGCUAACCAAUACUAAUUGCCCGUGAGGCUUGACCAU